Molecule: ribosomal RNA, 847 nt
Filed under: Mariannaea catenulata
Lineage: Eukaryota; Fungi; Ascomycota; Sordariomycetes; Hypocreales; Nectriaceae
Description: partial large subunit ribosomal RNA
Rfam family: Eukaryotic large subunit ribosomal RNA
Source: RNAcentral
CAACAGGGAUUGCCCUAGUAACGGCGAGUGAAGCGGCAACAGCUCAAAUUUGAAAUCUGGCCCUCGGGUCCGAGUUGUAAUUUGUAGAGGAUGCUUUUGGUGCGGUGCCUUCCGAGUUCCCUGGAACGGGACGCCAUAGAGGGUGAGAGCCCCGUCUGGUUGGAUGCCAAUCCUCUGUAAAGCUCCUUCGACGAGUCGAGUAGUUUGGGAAUGCUGCUCUAAAUGGGAGGUAUAUGUCUUCUAAAGCUAAAUAUUGGCCAGAGACCGAUAGCGCACAAGUAGAGUGAUCGAAAGAUGAAAAGCACUUUGAAAAGAGAGUUAAAAAGUACGUGAAAUUGUUGAAAGGGAAGCGCUCAUGACCAGACUUGGGCUUGGUAGAUCAACCUGGGUUCUCCCUGGUGCACUCUUCCUCGUCCAGGCCAGCAUCAGUUCGCUGCGGGGGAUAAAGGCUUCGGGAAUGUGGCUCCCUCGGGAGUGUUAUAGCCCGUUGCGUAAUACCCUGCGGUGGACUGAGGUUCGCGUUCUGCAAGGAUGCUGGCGUAAUGGUUAUCAGUGACCCGUCUUGAAACACGGACCAAGGAGUCGUCUUCGUAUGCGAGUGUUCGGGUGUUAAACCCCUACGCGUAAUGAAAGUGAACGCAGGUGAGAGCUUCGGCGCAUCAUCGACCGAUCCUGAUGUUCUCGGAUGGAUUUGAGUAAGAGCAUACGGGGCCGGACCCGAAAGAAGGUGAACUAUGCCUGUAUAGGGUGAAGCCAGAGGAAACUCUGGUGGAGGCUCGCAGCGGUUCUGACGUGCAAAUCGAUCGUCAAAUAUGGGCAUGGGGGCGAAAGACUAAUCGAACCUUCU